CCGUAAACGAUGAACACUAGGUGUCGGGGGAAUCGACCCCCUCGGUGUCGUAGCCAACGCGUUAAGUGUUUCCGCCUGGGGAGUACGCACGCAAGUGUGAAACUCAAAGGAAUUGACGGGGGCCCGCACAAGCGGUGGAGUAUGUGGUUUAAUUCGAUGCAACGCGAAGAACCUUACCAGGGUUUGACAUCCUGCGAAUCCCUUGGAAACUAGGGAGUGCCUUCGGGAGCGCAGAGACAGGUGGUGCAUGGCUGUCGUCAGCUCGUGUCGUGAGAUGUUGGGUUAAGUCCCGCAACGAGCGCAACCCACGUCUUUAGUUGCCAGCAUUCAGUUGGGCACUCUAGAGAGACCGCCGGUGAUAAACCGGAGGAAGGUGUGGAUGACGUCAAGUCAUCAUGCCCCUUACAUCCUGGGCUACACACGUACUACAAUGCUACGGACAAAGGGCAGCAAGCUCGCGAGAGUUAGCAAAUCCCAUAAACCGUGGCUCAGUUCAGAUCGUAGGCUGCAACUCGCCUACGUGAAGGAGGAAUCGCUAGUAAUCGCAGGUCAGCAUACUGCGGUGAAUACGUUCCCGGGCCUUGUACACACCGCCCGUCACACC
RNAcentral lists this ribosomal RNA (604 nucleotides) under uncultured bacterium. RNAcentral describes it as "bacterial SSU rRNA". It matches the Rfam family "Bacterial small subunit ribosomal RNA", at positions 800 to 1403 of the family's 1533-position model. The record is from RNAcentral.